GAUGAAGAACGCAGCGAAAUGCGAUAAGUAGUGUGAAUUGCAGAAUUCAGUGAAUCAUCGAAUCUUUGAACGCACAUUGCGCCCCUUGGUAUUCCAUGGGGCAUGCCUGUUCGAGCGUCAUUUGUACCUUCAAGCUUUGCUUGGUGUUGGGUGUUUGUCUCGCCUUUGCGUGAAGACUCGCCUUAAAAUAAUUGGCAGCCGGCGUAUUGAUUUCGGAGCGCAGUACAUCUCGCGCUUUGCACUCAUAACGACAGCGUCCAAAAGUACAUUUUACACUCUUGACCUCGGAUCAGGUAGGGAUACCCGCUGAACUUAAGCAUAUCAAUAAGCGGAGGA
Molecule: unclassified non-coding RNA, 336 nt
Filed under: soil metagenome
Description: partial contains 5.8S ribosomal RNA, internal transcribed spacer 2, and large subunit ribosomal RNA
Rfam family: 5.8S ribosomal RNA (bases 1-120)
Source: RNAcentral